CAUCUUAGGCAAUUUGGUAUAAUUUUAUGCUGUAUGAUUGAAGGAAUAGCAUCAAGAAACAUGUCUACAUUUGUUUUGUAAAAGCACUUUUUUUUUCUAGAUAUGUUCUACCCAUGACUGGUUGAAUCCAAGGAUUUGGAACUCACAAACCAUACUUGCUUCUUAGGAACAAUAUCUGAGCCUCAACUUUUUGUCAACUUGACGAGGAAAAGGAGGUUCCAAAUGGUCAUGGUACUUGCCGGAAUCAUACAACUAGUGAGAAGCAAGAUCCACUGUCUGACUCUUAAGAACCCAUGCUCACGACCACUCAACUCAGUCCUAACAUCCUCAAGGAAAAGAAGAAGGCCCACAAAUGUAGAGAUAAACUUCUCUUACAGCUGGCCAAUUUGGUGAAGCAGAAUAGUGGCCUUGCCCCAGAGAUCCUGAACAGCAUUCAUGUACCAACUACCUUCACAAAAGCCUAGAAAAUCAA
Dipodomys spectabilis (banner-tailed kangaroo rat) is the source of this 472-nucleotide long non-coding RNA. RefSeq lists it as uncharacterized. The record is from RefSeq and is a predicted model, not a curated record. NCBI's taxonomy places the organism in Eukaryota, Metazoa, Chordata, Mammalia, Rodentia, Heteromyidae. The transcript is spliced from 3 exons.